GAAAACCGGGGGCCAGGGGCCGCGUUAAUGCGGAGGGUGGAAUGGUACUUCGGAAUUACGGGGCGUAAAGUGCACGCAGGCGGUGAAUUAAGGCAGAUGUGAAAGCCCCGUGCUUAACUGGGUAAUUGCACCUGAAACUGGUUGGCUAGAGUCUUGUAGAGGGGGGUAGAAUUCCAUGUGUAGCGGUGAAAUGCGUGGAGAUGUGGAGGAAUACCGGUGGCGAAGGCGGCCCCCUGGACAAAGACUGACGCUCAGGUGCGAAAGCGUGGGGAGCAAACAGGAUUAGAUACCCGAGUAGUC
This 300-nucleotide ribosomal RNA is filed under the name uncultured Lactobacillus sp. RNAcentral describes it as "bacterial SSU rRNA". It matches the Rfam family "Bacterial small subunit ribosomal RNA", at positions 496 to 795 of the family's 1533-position model. The record is from RNAcentral. Lineage: Bacteria; Bacillati; Bacillota; Bacilli; Lactobacillales; Lactobacillaceae.